RNAcentral lists this ribosomal RNA (497 nucleotides) under uncultured bacterium. RNAcentral describes it as "partial 16S ribosomal RNA". It matches the Rfam family "Bacterial small subunit ribosomal RNA", at positions 28 to 507 of the family's 1533-position model. The record is from RNAcentral.
GAUGAACGCUGGCGGCGUGCCUAAUACAUGCAAGUCGAGCGAACAGACGAGGAGCUUGCUCCUCUGACGUUAGCGGCGGACGGGUGAGUAACACGUGGAUAACCUACCUAUAAGACUGGGAUAACUUCGGGAAACCGGAGCUAAUACCGGAUAAUAUAUUGAACCGCAUGGUUCAAUAGUGAAAGACGGUUUUGCUGUCACUUAUAGAUGGAUCCGCGCCGCAUUAGCUAGUUGGUAAGGUAACGGCUUACCAAGGCAACGAUGCGUAGCCGACCUGAGAGGGUGAUCGGCCGCGCUGGAACUGAGACACGGUCCAGGCUCCUGCGGGAGGCAGCAGUAGGGAAUCUUCCGCAAUGGGCGAAAGCCUGACGGAGCAACGCCGCGUGAGUGAUGAAGGUCUUCGGAUCGUAAAACUCUGUUAUUAGGGAAGAACAAAUGUGUAAGUAACUAUGCACGUCUUGACGGUACCUAAUCAGAAAGCCACGGCUAACUACGUG